AAAAGUAAAGCCGUUAUGCAGCUUUAGGGUCCUAUUUUAAAAAUCUAAGCACAAGACGUGAAGCGCCUGGCGGAGGUGCAUUUAGGGCGUG
Long non-coding RNA from Etheostoma spectabile (orangethroat darter), 91 nucleotides. RefSeq lists it as uncharacterized. The transcript is spliced from 3 exons. NCBI's taxonomy places the organism in Eukaryota, Metazoa, Chordata, Actinopteri, Perciformes, Percidae. The record is from RefSeq and is a predicted model, not a curated record.